Molecule: ribosomal RNA, 642 nt
Filed under: Cortinarius cf. obtusus SMI254
Lineage: Eukaryota; Fungi; Basidiomycota; Agaricomycetes; Agaricales; Cortinariaceae
Description: eukaryotic LSU rRNA
Rfam family: Eukaryotic large subunit ribosomal RNA
Source: RNAcentral
UGACCUCAAAUCAGGUAGGACUACCCGCUGAACUUAAGCAUAUCAAUAAGCGGAGGAAAAGAAACUAACAAGGAUUCCCCUAGUAACUGCGAGUGAAGCGGGAAAAGCUCAAAUUUAAAAUCUGGCAGUCUUUGGCUGUCCGAGUUGUAAUCUAGAGAAGUGCUAUCCGCGCUGGACCGUGUACAAGUCUCCUGGAAUGGAGCGUCAUAGAGGGUGAGAAUCCCGUCUUUGACACGGACUGCCAGGGCUUUGUGAUACGCUCUCAAAGAGUCGGGUUGUUUGGGAAUGCAGCUCAAAAUGGGUGGUAAAUUCCAUCUAAAGCUAAAUAUUGGCGAGAGACCGAUAGCGAACAAGUACCGUGAGGGAAAGAUGAAAAGAACUUUGGAAAGAGAGUUAAACAGUACGUGAAAUUGCUGAAAGGGAAACGCUUGAAGUCAGUCGCGUUGACCAGGGAUCAACCUUGCUGUUGCUUGGUGCACUUUCUGGUUGACGGGUCAGCAUCAAUUUUGACUAUUGGAAAAAGAUUAGGGGAAUGUGACAUCUUUGGAUGUGUUAUAGCCCUUGGUUGCAUACAAUGGUUGGGAUUGAGGAACUCAGCACGCCGCAAGGCCGGGUUUAAAACCACGUACGUGCUUAGGAUGC